Non-coding RNA from Caerostris darwini, 87 nucleotides. The record is from the annotation of a GenBank genome assembly. NCBI's taxonomy places the organism in Eukaryota, Metazoa, Arthropoda, Arachnida, Araneae, Araneidae.
GUCUCGUUAGAUCACCGAACUCAAGCAUCAUUGGGCGCGAUCAGUACUUGGGUGGGUGACCACCUGGUGGGAACACCGCGUGCCGUU